GACGAACGCUGGCGGCAUGCCUAAUACAUGCAAGUUGAACGAUGAUAUUCUCUGCUUGCAGAGAAUUGAAGAGUAGCGAACGGGUGAGUAACACGUGGGGAACCUGCCCAUGAGAGGGGGAUAACAUUCGGAAACGGAUGCUAAUACCGCAUAAUGCUUUGGACCGCCUGGUCCAGAGACGAAAGACGGCUUUUGCUGUCACUCAUGGAUGGCCCCGCGCCGUAUUAGCUAGUUGGUGAGGUAAUGGCUCACCAAAGCUGUGAUACGUAGCCGACCUGAGAGGGUGAUCGGCCACACUGGGACUGAGACACGGCCCAGACUCCUACGGGAGGCAGCAGUAGGGAAUCUUCCACAAAGGGCGAAAGCCUGAUGGAGCAAUGCCGCGUGAAUGAAGAAGGUCUUCGGAUCGUAAAGUUCUGUUAUUAGAGAAGAACAAGUCAAGGAGUAACUGUCUUGACUUUGACGGUACCUAACCAGAAAGUCACGGCUAACUACGUG
Molecule: ribosomal RNA, 498 nt
Filed under: uncultured bacterium
Lineage: Bacteria
Description: partial 16S ribosomal RNA
Rfam family: Bacterial small subunit ribosomal RNA
Source: RNAcentral